Long non-coding RNA from Acipenser ruthenus (sterlet), 1110 nucleotides. RefSeq lists it as uncharacterized. NCBI's taxonomy places the organism in Eukaryota, Metazoa, Chordata, Actinopteri, Acipenseriformes, Acipenseridae. The transcript has 3 exons. The record is from RefSeq and is a predicted model, not a curated record.
UCGACCAAUUAUUAGGUGUAAUUGCAGUUAGGCAGGUGUGCCAGUAUACAAUUGCAUCGACUCCCAGGUCUGGCACAGGGGCUGGUUUCAGAAACUGUCAAAUCCUGAUCGCUUUCAGAGGUACAGUCUGUAGUUUUGAUUUGUUGCACGUAUGAAAUCCAACCACCGGAACUGAAAAUCUUGGACAAUUGUCAGAACAGACAAGUUAGCGAUUGUGUAAUUUAAUUGUUGGCUUGAAUAGGUCACACCUGUCAAUCAUUUCAAGUAGUAAGAGAAACGGAACACACAGCUGCAAAUGGGGUCAGCUCUCAGAUGGACGAUGAAUACAAGUGGGCGGGUGGUGGAGGACCCUAAAAUCAUGGUCACCUCGUCCCGGGACCCCAGCUCCAGACUCAAGAUGUUUGCCAAGGGAAGGCGUCUUUAAGCUCUUCGGUGCCAGUUGUGUGCCAGUGAGGAGAGAGAGUCAUCAAUGAAUUGUUAAACAUAAAGAUUGCAACAGGAUGUCGUCUACAAGAAAACGAGCAGGUGUACAUGAUCAAGCUGGGCACUCUGGAGAACGAAAGCAUCGUGGGAGUGGAGUGGCGUCUCCACCCCUACUCUCACACUGCAAAGAAAACACCUGAGUGGAGUGAACGCAGGAGAAGCAGAGACCCGCCAGACUGAAACACAAGGACAUCUCCCAACAAUUGUUAGCCCACACAGUGGGGGAAAUGAUACAUAGAAAAACUGGAAAAUUAAGCAUUUUUUUUUACAUUUAAAGCAGCUGAUUUCACCAUGUAAGUGCAGUGGAACCCCUCUCUUCUGAUCUUUGUGUUCAGUUAUGGGGCAGUGUAUAUGUACCUGCUAUUGGGUGGAUAAUUCCUCUGAUACAAGGAUUCUACUGUAUUGCACUUUGACAACUAUAUUCUGCUAUGCAGAAUAACUAUUGAAUUUGUAUUUUGCAGAUUUUAUAAAACAUCUGAGCAAGAUACAUCCUUGUGUCCCUCCUUAUUGUUGUUCAAGCUCCCCUCCCCAUUACCCAAACACCAAGAUUGUAGUUCUUAACCCAGUCCAGCGGCUUUCAUUUCUAAAAAGAAAAGUGGAUUUGGUAUGAACAAACAGAUCCUGUUU